Magnolia sinica is the source of this 258-nucleotide long non-coding RNA. RefSeq lists it as uncharacterized. The transcript has 2 exons. The record is from RefSeq and is a predicted model, not a curated record. NCBI's taxonomy places the organism in Eukaryota, Viridiplantae, Streptophyta, Magnoliopsida, Magnoliales, Magnoliaceae.
CAACACAAUUUGUUCGAAUGUUAUCUUUCACCCACUCACAUGCCAAAUUCUUCGUGAGUUGAUUCAAUGCUCCUAGUAAAAAUAAUAGAAUAAUUAGCAACUCCAAGCAUCAUGGAUCAUUUCCCCCCCAAAAGGUGAGAUUAUACCACCCACAACUUUGUUAAUUCCAAAAAGAUCAGCUACACAAAGAUUCGGGCAGGUGACACAAAAAUGAACAGGCUAUGCUUAUCAUAUGAUCUUUAAUCAAAGCCUUCCAAA